UGGGGGAUAUUGCACAAUGGGCGAAAGCCUGAUGCAGCGACGCCGCGUGGGGGAUGAAGGCUUUCGGGUUGUAAACCUCUUUCGCUAUCGAACAAGGCCCGCUUAGGGUGGGUUGAGGGUAGGUGGAGAAGAAGCGCCGGCUAACUACGUGCCAGCAGCCGCGGUAAUACGUAGGGCGCGAGCGUUGUCCGGAAUUAUUGGGCGUAAAGGGCUUGUAGGCGGCUUGUUGCGCCUGCUGUGAAAACGCGGGGCUUAACUUCGCGCGUGCAGUGGGUACGGGCAGGCUUGAGUGUGGUAGGGGUGACUGGAAUUCCAGGUGUAGCGGUGGAAUGCGCAGAUAUCUGGAGGAACACCGAUGGCGAACGCAGGUCACUGGGCCAUUACUGACGCUGAGGAGCGAAAGCAUGGGUAGCGAACAGG
Molecule: ribosomal RNA, 420 nt
Filed under: bacterium
Lineage: Bacteria
Description: partial 16S ribosomal RNA
Rfam family: Bacterial small subunit ribosomal RNA
Source: RNAcentral